CCUUGUGACCAUUGAGGAGGGGCCACACCCGAUCCCUUUCCGAACUCGGAAGUUAAGACCUCCAUCGCCGAUGAUACUGCCAGGUAGCU
This 89-nucleotide ribosomal RNA is filed under the name Maridesulfovibrio ferrireducens. Lineage: Bacteria; Pseudomonadati; Thermodesulfobacteriota; Desulfovibrionia; Desulfovibrionales; Desulfovibrionaceae. The record is from RNAcentral.